This 1683-nucleotide long non-coding RNA is filed under the name Eutrema salsugineum. Its description in RNAcentral is "long non-coding RNA (ESAL_LNC000524)". Lineage: Eukaryota; Viridiplantae; Streptophyta; Magnoliopsida; Brassicales; Brassicaceae. The record is from RNAcentral.
GGUCAUCAAUUUCUCUUGAUUUCGUUCUGUAUGUAGAAAAUAUAACUUAUAUAUUAUAAUAUUACGCUACCAUAGAGUUAGCAGACUAUGUUGAGAAAAAUAAAAAAUCAGACCAAGUCGCUAUUUUACUAUUAGUUAUUUUCAAUUAAAAGUAAAACUAAAAAAAAUUCAAUAUAACUAUCUAUAUUAUUGGUUCAUAGUAAGUUUAAAACAUUUAGUAAACCAAAAAUUCAAUCGAAAUGAUAUGUCUUCUUACUAUUAGCAAAAAUUAAUUUUAGUAACAUUUUCUCUGAUGAAAUAUAUAGAUUUUUUAGGAUAGAAAACUAUGCGAUAUCUGAUAAGGUAUUAAUAUGUUGGUUGUUGGAUUCUUAUCAUUUAUUAUUUAACAGCUGGACAACAAGUUGGCGUUUGCUACGGAAGAUACGGUGACAAUCUCCCGUCGCCGGCAGAAACCAUUGAGCUCUUCAAACAGAAAAACAUCCGGCGAGUUAGGCUUUACAGUCCGGACCACGACGUUCUUGCCGCCUUACGUGGCUCCGACAUCGAAGUCAUGUUGGGCCUCCCUAACCAGGACCUUCAACGCAUAGCCUCUAGCCAAUCUGAAGCUGACACGUGGGUCCAAAACAACGUCAACAACUACGUGGAUGACGUCAAGUUCCGUUACGUAUCUGUUGGGAACGAAGUGAAGAUCUUUGACUCUUACUCACAAUUUCUAGUCCCUGCCAUGGAAAAUAUUGACCGGGCGGUAUUAGGAUCCGGACUCGGCGGUCGUAUUAAGGUAUUACCACCAAAACUUUUGGCAUUUUAAAUUAUAAGUUUUCUCUUCUGCUCACCAUUUAAUUAAUUUUUACUUUAGUUUACAAUUCGCAAAAUAUUUUGCAAAAUAUUUUUUUUUUCCUGGUCACCAAUUCGUUAAUUUUAUUUUUGUUCACAGUUAGCAAAAUUAUCUAAUAAUCAAAGAAAUAUUUAUUUUCUAAUUGUAAAUCUUGUUUUGAAAACGUAAGUGCGUUUGAAAUGAAACAAUGGAACCGCUAAAUUGUCUUUUUAUUUUAUACGAAAUUUGGUAGCAUGCAUGUAUCUUUAUUGCGUUUGAAACAUUACGUUUUGUUGUAAAUGCUUGAUUCUUAAUAGGUAUCAACAGCGAUAGACAUGGGAGUGCUCGGAGAGUCUUACCCACCUUCAAAAGGUUCGUUUAAAGGAGAAGUAAUGGUGCUCAUGGAACCAAUCAUACGUUUCUUGGUAAACAAGAAAUCUCCUUUACACUUAAACCUCUACACUUACUUCAGCUACGCGGGCAAUCCAGACCAAAUCCGACUCGAUUACGCUCUCUUCACGGCUUCUCCAGGAACCGUCUCAGACCCUCCAAGAUCUUACCAGAACCUAUUCGAUGCGAUGCUCGAUGCGGUGCAUUCGGCUCUAGAGAGAUCUGGUGGUGAAUCGUUGGAUGUUGUCGUGUCGGAGACUGGAUGGCCAACGGAAGGAGGAACCGAGACUAAUCUGGAGAAUGCGAGGAUUUAUAGCAAUAAUUUGAUUAAUCAUGUGAAGAAUGGGACACCGAAGAGACCAGGGAAAGAAAUCGAGACUUAUUUAUUUGCGAUGUAUGAUGAGAAUAAGAAGCCUACUCCUCCUGAUGUUGAGAAGUUUUGGGGAUUAUUUCAUCCGAACAAGCAGCCUAAGUACGAG